This 3164-nucleotide small RNA is filed under the name Pan troglodytes (chimpanzee). RNAcentral's name for it is "retained intron". Lineage: Eukaryota; Metazoa; Chordata; Mammalia; Primates; Hominidae. The record is from RNAcentral.
AGAACACAUCUGCUUUCCUGUGUGAGGGUGAGGCUUGGGCCGGGUUCCCCGGGAGGCUCAUCUCCAUUGCGCAGCGCUACGGCGACCCGCAACUCCGAGGCUCGGCUGGAUGUUGAGAGUUGAGGGAGCAGCCGUUUCGGGUGGGCCCAGGCGAGGAGCUGACAGGAAUCGGCGUGGGUCCCGCUCUGGACUACAUUUCCCAGAGGGCCUGGUGGCCUGCCACUUUUCUCGCAGGAAUUCGAACGUUUCGUCACUCCUGGCGGGACCCUUAGAUCUGGGAGGAAACCUCUCUGAGGUCUGGUCAGAUUCCAACCCUGGACAGCAGUGAACACAACCUUUCCCCUGAGCCACUGGAAUUGGACAGAAUGCCCCAUUCUCCUCUGAUCUCCAUUCCUCAUGUGUGGUGUCACCCAGAAGAGGAGGAAAGAAUGCAUGAUGAACUUCUACAAGCAGUAUCCAAGGGGCCGGUGAUGUUCAGGGAUGUUUCCAUAGACUUCUCUCAAGAGGAAUGGGAAUGCCUGGACGCUGGUCAGAUGAAUUUAUACAAAGAAGUGAUGUUGGAGAAUUUCAGCAACCUGGUUUCAGUGGGACUUUCCAAUUCUAAGCCAGCUGUGAUCUCCUUAUUGGAACAAGGAAAAGAGCCCUGGAUGGUUGAUAGAGAGCUGACUAGAGGCCUGUGUUCAGGUAAGUAAGAGAUGAUGGCUCAGGAGCAGGGCUAUAAAGAGAUAUACUUCUGAGAUGUUAUCAGGAAGCUCCCUUUAAAGGCCCGAAGCCUCUUCCAUAUAAGGUAUCCCACUUUUUUUUGUUUCUCAUACUUUCUCCCUAGUCCAAUAUAGCAAGUACCUCCCUGGCUACAAUUAUGCUAUAAUUAUUCUACUCACAUUUUAGUUUCAUUCCUUCCUAUGAUACGCUACGUUUAGAUUUGUAUAACAGUAGACAUUCCCACCCUGAGAAAUAGAUGUAAGUGCAUGUGUGUCUUUUUCUUUCCCUGUGCUUGUUUUCAUUUUAUCUACUUUCAGCUAUUUAACAUCUUUGACCAGUUUGUUCUGGAUUUAAAAGCUCAUUCUUUCAUUUAUCAAACAUUUGAUUAUUUCUUACUUUAAAACAAAAUUGAAGUAUAACAUACACACAUAAAACUGCAUGACUAUGAUUGCAUAGUAUGGUGAAAUUGAGAAUGGUGAAACCACUACUAGGACAAUAAGUAGAACAUUACUAGCACCUCAGAACCCCUUCUCUGCCCCUUCCCAAUCACCAGCCUCUUUUUCCUCUCCCAAAAUAAAUACCAUCCUGACAUUUGGCACCAUGGAUUCGUUUUGCCUAUUUUGGAACUUUGUAUAGAUGCAAUCACACAGUAUUUAGUCUUUUGCCUUUGGCUUUUUUUGCUCAACAUUAUGUUUAUGUGACAUAUCUAUGGUGCUGCAUAUAUCUGGUGUUAGUUCAUUCUUAUUGGCUAUGUUAUAUUUCAUUCUAUGAAUAUAUAUAUACAUAUAUAUAUAUUUUUUUUUUUUGAGAUGGAGUCUUGCUCUGUUGCUCAGGCUGGAGUGCAGUGGUGUGAUCUCGGCUCACUGCAACCUCUGCCUCCUGGGUUCAAGCGAUUCUCCUGCCUCAGCCUCCCGAGUAGCUGGAACUACAGGCCUGCGCCACCACGCCCAGCUAAUUUUUUGUAUUUUUAGUAGAGACAGGGUUUCAACAUGUUGGCCAGGCUGGUUUCAAACUGCUGACUUCAGGUGAUCGACCCGCCUCAGCCUCCCAAAGUGCUGGGAUUACAGGCGUAACCCACUGUGUCCUGCUUCAUUCUAUGAAUAUUUUUUAAAUUAUGCUUUAUAUAUUAUUAAUUACUAUAAGUGUCCUUCUGUUGACAGUUGGUUUGUUUGCAGUUUUUAGCUAUUACACAUAAUGCUGCUGUGAACGUUCCUAUGUAUAACUUUUGGUAAAUGUAUGUACACAUUUCUUUUAGGUAUAUACAUAGGAGUGGAAUUACUGAGCAAUAGGAUAUGUGUGUGUUCAACUUUAGUAAAUAUACCAAUUUUCCAAAGUAGUUAUACCAAUUUGCAGUUCUACUAGCAGUAUGAAGGUUACUAUUGCUCUGCAUUCUUACAUUCUUACCAGUUAUUACUGCCAGGCCCUUUAAUUUUAGUUAUUCUGAUGUGUGUGUUCUGUGACAUGCCUGUUUAAGUUUCUUGGCUAAACUUAGUCGGUUGUCUAUCUUUUUCCUGUUGGUUUCAAAGAAUUCUUUUUAUAUUCUAUGUAUCAGCCCUGUGUUUGGUUAUACAUGAUGUAAAUGUCUCCCACCACUUUAUACCUUGCCCUUUACUCUUUUAAUAGUACCUUUUGAUGAACAGAAGUUAUUAAUUUUAAUGUGGUCACAGUUAUCUUUUUCUUUAUAGUGUUGCUUUUUUGUGUCCUGGAUAGGAAUCAUUGCCUACCCCAAGGUCAUGAAGAUAUUUCCUAUGUUAUAUUCUAGUAGCUUUAUUGUUUUACUUUUUCCAUUUAGAUCUACUUUCCUGAAGUUGGUAUUUGUAUGUGUUGUGAGGUAGGGGUCAAAUUUCAUUUUUUUUCCAUGUGAAUAUCCAGUUGACUUCUUAGUGUUUAUUGAGAUGACUGUCCUUUUCCCAUUCUAUAGAGAUAGGACUAUAUCUAUCUUUUCCCCUAUAGAAAUAGGACUACCUUUGUCAUAAAUCAGGUAUUCCUAUUUCUGUGAGUCUAUCUCUGAAUUCUGUUCCUUUGGCUUAUUUGUCUAUCCUUGUGCCAAUACCAUACUAUAUUAAUACUGUAGCAUGUAAUAAAUCUUAUCUAGUAGAGCAAGUUCUCCUGCUGCUGCUUAGUCCUUUGCAUUUUCAUUGUAAAUUUUAGUAUUAGGCCGGGCGCAGUGGCUCACGCCUGUAAUCCCAGCACUUUGGGAGGCCGAGGUGGGUGGAUCACCUGGGGUCAGGAGUUCAAGACCAGCCUGGGAAACAUGGUGAAACCCCAUCUUUACUAAAAAUACAAAAAUUAGCCAGGCGUGGUGGCGGGCACCUGUAAUCCCAGCUACUCAGGAGGCUGAGGCAGGAGAAUCGCUUGAACCAGGGAGGCGGAGGUUGCAGUGAGCCGAGAUCACACCAUUGCACUCCAGCCUGGGGGACAAGAGCAAAACUUGGUCUCACAAAAGAAAAAAAAAAAAAAAA